GAUGAACGCUGGCGGCGUGCUUAACACAUGCAAGUCGAACGGGAAUUAUUUUAUUGAAACUUCGGUCGAUUUAAUUUAAUUCUAGUGGCGGACGGGUGAGUAACGCGUGGGUAACCUGCCUUAUACAGGGGGAUAACAGUCAGAAAUGGCUGCUAAUACCGCAUAAGCGCACAGAGCUGCAUGGCUCAGUGCGAAAAACUCCGGUGGUAUAAGAUGGACCCGCGUUGGAUUAGCUGGUUGGUGGGGUAACGGCCCACCAAGGCGACGAUCCAUAGCCGGCCUGAGAGGGUGAACGGCCACAUUGGGACUGAGACACGGCCCAGACUCCUACGGGAGGCAGCAGUGGGGAAUAUUGCACAAUGGGGGAAACCCUGAUGCAGCGACGCCGCGUGAAGGAAGAAGUAUCUCGGUAUGUAAACUUCCAUCAGCAGGGAAGAUAGUGACGGUACCUGACUAAGAAGCCCCGGCUAACUACGUG
Molecule: ribosomal RNA, 478 nt
Filed under: uncultured bacterium
Lineage: Bacteria
Description: partial 16S ribosomal RNA
Rfam family: Bacterial small subunit ribosomal RNA
Source: RNAcentral